This 253-nucleotide unclassified non-coding RNA is filed under the name uncultured Enterobacteriaceae bacterium. RNAcentral's name for it is "contains 16S-23S intergenic spacer region". It matches the Rfam family "Bacterial small subunit ribosomal RNA", at positions 524 to 776 of the family's 1533-position model. The record is from RNAcentral. Lineage: Bacteria; Pseudomonadati; Pseudomonadota; Gammaproteobacteria; Enterobacterales; Enterobacteriaceae.
UACGGAGGGUGCAAGCGUUAAUCGGAAUUACUGGGCGUAAAGCGCACGCAGGCGGUCUGUCAAGUCGGAUGUGAAAUCCCCGGGCUCAACCUGGGAACUGCAUCCGAAACUGGCAGGCUAGAGUCUUGUAGAGGGGGGUAGAAUUCCAGGUGCAGCGGUGAAAUGCGUAUAGAUCUGGAGGAAUACCGGUGGCGAAGGCGGCCCCCUGGACAAAGACUGACGCUCAGGUGCGAAAGCUAGGGUCUCGAACCGG